AUUUUAACCGCUAUGUUACGAAGAUAUAGCAAGAGCUAUAAUAGAAAUCACUUUGCUUUGAUAUAUGUUGAUUGAAAUUAAUGCUAUAUACUCAAACAUGUUUUACGGAAAGUGUGCAAAGUGAUCUCCCAUUACAUUCAGGAUAACUUGUUGAAUUAAUACUUAAUCAUGAAUUCCUGGUUCGCUGAAAGAUAUUCAGCGUAAUAUGAAUGAUCGUCCCAUCCAUUGCAGUGAUAUUCCAUAGAUCAUAUUGCAUGUUAUAUCAUUGGAAGUAUCCACUUCAUAUGAAAAUGAUAGCAUGGUAUGCUCGUAUGCUUAUUGAAUGAAUGGACGUUUAUUCAGUUGAAUGUUCAUGCCUCCAAUGCCAUGCUUAUGUUGCCGUAUAUCUGUAACGAAGCGAUCAAGACUGUUUCUAUAAAAAAUUUACUUGUUUUUAACUGUAGAAUGCUAUGCAGUUCAGAUACUGUAAAAAAGGGAAAUAUCUUAUUUUUUAUUGUGACCGUAGAAUAUCUUAACAUGAAUUUAAGGCAAAAUUUUUAAAAUAAUCAAUAGUAAAAUAUUGACCAUAAGCC
This 572-nucleotide long non-coding RNA is filed under the name Androctonus crassicauda. Lineage: Eukaryota; Metazoa; Arthropoda; Arachnida; Scorpiones; Buthidae. The record is from RNAcentral.